GUAGAGGAUGCUUUUGGUGAGGUGCCNUCNGAGUUCCCUGGAACGGGACGCCACAGAGGGUGAGAGCCCCGUCUGGCUGGCCACCGAGCCUCUGUAAAGCUCCUUCGACGAGUCGAGUAGUUUGGGAAUGCUGCUCAAAAUGGGAGGUAUAUGUCUUCUAAAGCUAAAUAUUGGCCAGAGACCGAUAGCGCACAAGUAGAGUGAUCGAAAGAUGAAAAGCACCUUGAAAAGAGGGUUAAACAGUACGUGAAAUUGUUGAAAGGGAAGCGCUUGUGACCAGACUUGGGCGCGGCGAAUCAUCCGGGGUUCUCUCCGGUGCACUUCGCCGUGUUCAGGCCAGCAUCAGUUCGGCGCGGGGGNNAGAGGCUUCGGGAACGUGGCUGCUCCGGCAGUGUUAUAGCCCGUUGCAUAAUACCCUGCGCUGGACUGAGGACCGCGCAUCUGCAAGGAUGCUGGCGUAAUGGUCACCAGCGACCCGUCUUGAAAACACGG
RNAcentral lists this ribosomal RNA (492 nucleotides) under soil fungal sp. DM005. RNAcentral describes it as "eukaryotic LSU rRNA". It matches the Rfam family "Eukaryotic large subunit ribosomal RNA", at positions 151 to 664 of the family's 3401-position model. Lineage: Eukaryota; Fungi. The record is from RNAcentral.